AAAUUGAAGAGUUUGAUCAUGGCUCAGAUUGAACGCUGGCGGCAGGCCUAACACAUGCAAGUCGAACGGUAACAGGAAGCAGCUUGCUGUUUCGCUGACGAGUGGCGGACGGGUGAGUAAUGUCUGGGAAACUGCCUGAUGGAGGGGGAUAACUACUGGAAACGGUAGCUAAUACCGCAUAACGUCGCAAGACCAAAGAGGGGGACCUUCGGGCCUCUUGCCAUCGGAUGUGCCCAGAUGGGAUUAGCUAGUAG
RNAcentral lists this ribosomal RNA (254 nucleotides) under Escherichia coli. Its description in RNAcentral is "partial 16S ribosomal RNA". It matches the Rfam family "Bacterial small subunit ribosomal RNA", at positions 1 to 251 of the family's 1533-position model. The record is from RNAcentral. Lineage: Bacteria; Pseudomonadati; Pseudomonadota; Gammaproteobacteria; Enterobacterales; Enterobacteriaceae. RNAcentral also lists the same sequence under 1 other name.